UACGUAGGGCGCAAGCGUUGUCCGGAAUUAUUGGGCGUAAAGAGCGUGUAGGCGGCCAGGUAGGUCUGCUGUGAAAACUCGAGGCUUAACCUCGAGCUGUCGGCGGAAACCAUCUGGCUAGAGUCCGGAAGAGGAGAGUGGAAUUCCUGGUGUAGCGGUGAAAUGCGCAGAUAUCAGGAAGAACACCCGUGGCGAAGGCGGCUCUCUGGGACGGUACUGACGCUGAGACGCGAAAGCGUGGGGAGCGAACAGG
RNAcentral lists this ribosomal RNA (253 nucleotides) under uncultured bacterium. Its description in RNAcentral is "partial 16S ribosomal RNA". It matches the Rfam family "Bacterial small subunit ribosomal RNA", at positions 524 to 776 of the family's 1533-position model. The record is from RNAcentral.